ACUGUUUUAACAAUGAAGCGAGUGGCGAACUGGUGAGUAACACCUGGGAAAUCUGCCCAGAAGCAGGGGAUAACACUUGGAAACAGGUGCUAAUACCGUAUAACAACAAAAUCCGCAUGGAUUUUGUUUGAAAGGUGGCUUCGGCUAUCACUUCUGGAUGAUCCCGCGGCGUAUUAGUUAGUUGGUGAGGUAAAGGCCCACCAAGACGAUGAUACGUAGCCGACCUGAGAGGGUAAUCGGCCACAUUGGGACUGAGACACGGCCCAAACUCCUACGGGAGGCAGCAGUAGGGAAUCUUCCACAAUGGACGAAAGUCUGAUGGAGCAUGCC
RNAcentral lists this ribosomal RNA (330 nucleotides) under uncultured Lactobacillus sp. Its description in RNAcentral is "bacterial SSU rRNA". It matches the Rfam family "Bacterial small subunit ribosomal RNA", at positions 74 to 392 of the family's 1533-position model. Lineage: Bacteria; Bacillati; Bacillota; Bacilli; Lactobacillales; Lactobacillaceae. The record is from RNAcentral.